This 253-nucleotide ribosomal RNA is filed under the name uncultured bacterium. RNAcentral's name for it is "partial 16S ribosomal RNA". It matches the Rfam family "Bacterial small subunit ribosomal RNA", at positions 524 to 776 of the family's 1533-position model. The record is from RNAcentral.
UACGUAGGGUGCGAGCGUUAAUCGGAAUUACUGGGCGUAAAGCGUGCGCAGGCGGUUUGGUAAGGCAGGCGUGAAAUCCCCGGGCUUAACCUGGGAACUGCGUUUGUGACUGCCAGGCUAGAGUACGGCAGAGGGGGGUGGAAUUCCACGUGUAGCAGUGAAAUGCGUAGAGAUGUGGAGGAACACCAAUGGCGAAGGCAGCCCCCUGGGUCGAUACUGACGCUCAUGCACGAAAGCGUGGGUAGCAAACAGG